CCUACGGGCGGCAGCAGUGGGGGAUAUUGCACAAUGGGGGAAACCCUGAUGCAGCGACGCCGCGUGGGUGAAGAAGCGCCUCGGCGCGUAAAGCCCUGUCAGCAGGGAAGAAAAUGACGGUACCUGAAGAAGAAGCCCCGGCUAACUACGUGCCAGCAGCCGCGGUAAUACGUAGGGGGCAAGCGUUAUCCGGAUUUACUGGGUGUAAAGGGGGCGCAGACGGCGAUGCAAGCCAGGAGUGAAAGCCCGGGGCCCAACCCCGGGACUGCUCUUGGAACUGCGUGGCUAGAGUGCAGGAGGGGCAGGCGGAAGUCCGGGGGUAGCGGUGAAAUGCGUAGAUAUAAGGAGGAACACCGGUGGCGAAGGCGGCCUGCUGGACUGCAACUGACGUUGAGGCCCGAAAGCGUGGGGAGCAAACAGGAUUAGAUACCCCAGUAGUC
RNAcentral lists this ribosomal RNA (440 nucleotides) under uncultured bacterium. RNAcentral describes it as "partial 16S ribosomal RNA". It matches the Rfam family "Bacterial small subunit ribosomal RNA", at positions 338 to 795 of the family's 1533-position model. The record is from RNAcentral.